Molecule: ribosomal RNA, 468 nt
Filed under: uncultured bacterium
Lineage: Bacteria
Description: partial 16S ribosomal RNA
Rfam family: Bacterial small subunit ribosomal RNA
Source: RNAcentral
GACGAACGCUGGCGGCGUGCUUAACACAUGCAAGUCGAACGGAAAGGCCCUGCUUUUGUGGGGUGCUCGAGUGGCGAACGGGUGAGUAACACGUGAGUAACCUGCCCUUGACUUUGGGAUAACUUCAGGAAACUGGGGCUAAUACCGGAUAGGAGCUCCUGCUGCAUGGUGGGGGUUGGAAAGUUUCGGCGGUUGGGGAUGGACUCGCGGCUUAUCAGCUUGUUGGUGGGGUAGUGGCUUACCAAGGCUUUGACGGGUAGCCGGCCUGAGAGGGUGACCGGCCACAUUGGGACUGAGAUACGGCCCAGACUCCUACGGGAGGCAGCAGUGGGGAAUAUUGCACAGUGGGCGGGAGCCUGAUGCAGAAACGCCGCGUGCGGGAUGAAGGCCUUCGGGUUGUAAACCGCUUUCGCCUGUGACGAAGCGUGAGUGACGGUAAUGGGUAAAGAAGCACCGGCUAACUACGUG